This 372-nucleotide RNase P RNA is filed under the name Propionibacteriaceae bacterium. Its description in RNAcentral is "RNase P RNA component class A". It matches the Rfam family "Bacterial RNase P class A". From Rfam's summary of the family: Ribonuclease P (RNase P) is a ubiquitous endoribonuclease, found in archaea, bacteria and eukarya as well as chloroplasts and mitochondria. Its best characterised activity is the generation of mature 5'-ends of tRNAs by cleaving the 5'-leader elements of precursor-tRNAs. Lineage: Bacteria; Bacillati; Actinomycetota; Actinomycetes; Propionibacteriales; Propionibacteriaceae. The record is from RNAcentral.
UGAGCUGGCCGGGUGACCGCGCAGAAAUGUGAGGAAAGUCCGGACUCCACAGAGCACGGUGGUGGGUAACACCCACCUGGGGCGACCCACGGGACAGUGCCACAGAAAGCAGACCGCCCUGGCGACAGGGUAAGGGUGAAACGGUGGUGUAAGAGACCACCAGCACUGCGAGUGAUCGCAGUGGCUAGGCAAACCCCACCGGGAGCAAGACCAAGAAGGCCGCAAGGCCGCGUCAAUCGGGUUGCUCGCCUGAUGAUUGACGGGUAGGUCGCACGAGGCAUGGCCUCGAAGGUUCGUGGCAACACGGAUCGCAGAUGGAUGGUCACCGGCUGGCAACAGUCACAGAAUCCGGCUUAGAGGCCAGCUCAUCCC